GCCCAACACAGAGCAAAAAAAAAAACGCGAUCUUUCUCUGUCACCGUUACAAUGCCCUAGAAUCAUCUUCUCCGCUCGAAUUGAAGCUGACCAUAGACGUAUGCAAAGAUCAAAUUGAAGCUCGAAUCAAGCCAUCCCCUCUCUUCUCUAAAUGAAUCAAAGUUCUCCUUUUUUUUAGGAACGAUUUCAACCAAAUUUUCGACUAAUACAAGAAAAUGAAGCAAGAAGAAGUGGAUUGUUGCCAGAUUCAAGAAUGGUAUCCAAAUUUCAAAUCUGACUCUAUAAAGACCGUUAUCCAUCAACUCCCAGAAUCCUUUAUUCAGUAUCUGGUUGGAGAUUCUGGCCCCUUUCUGCUUCCCACGUCUGUGUCAAAUGAGGACGCCUUUCCCAAUAGGAUUCACAAACCCGAAGAUGAGGAGGACUACCAACUGUCGGAAGGAUCUGACGAUGAGGCAGAGCAACCAUCACAACCCCCUUCGUUCCCGGAACUUGAAUUGAAGAUCAAAGACUCAAUUGAAUCCCUUGAUGGUGCUGUCUUUCCCAAGUUAAAUUGGAGUUCACCAAAAGAUACUGCAUGGGUCAGCACCACUGGAACCCUCAAAUGCACAUCAUUUAGUGACAUAGCUCUCUUACUCAAAUCGUCUGAUUCCUUGGUCCAUGAUUUGUGUCAUGCAUACGAUUCAUGCAGUGACAAGACUUUGUCAAGACCACCUCAUUUCUACCUUGCCCUACGGAAGUGGUACCCUUCUUUGAGACCAGAGAUGGAGUUCCGUUGCUUUGUUCGUGCUCAGCAACUUGUCGGGAUUUCUCAACGUGAAGUUACUGCUUAUUAUCCCGCUGCACUGGAAAGAAAAGAAGAGCUCAAAGAUCUGAUCCAUGAUUUUUUCAUUGAUAAGGUUGAAGGGAAAUUUAAAUCCGAAAAUUACACUUUUGAUGUUUAUAUUACGAAACAUAGGAAGGUAAAGUUAAUUGAUUUUAAUCCUUGGGGUGCAUUCACAUUGCCACUAUUGUUUACUUGGGAGGAGUUGGAGCAAGAUGGAAGGUUGGAGGAAGAUGUUGAUUUCAGAUUAGUGGAAAGCGAGCAAACAGUACGCCCAGGUUUGAAGACUGCGGUUCCUUAUGAUUAUAUUGAUAUGAGCACUGGGAGUGGUUGGGACCAGUUUUUGAGGAAUGCAGACGAGGAGUUGCAGCAACAGAUGAGGUUUCCGGAAGCAGGUGCGUAAGCGUUUGGUAUGCUGGAGGUUACUGGUUUUGGCCAAGUGCUUGUAGUUUUCUUGAUACUUCAGUGUAUGUUUGCUAACUAUUCUUUUAAUUAAUUUUAAUUACUCCUUGAGUUAAAGUAUAAGUACUAUACGAAGAAAAUAGGUAGUAGGGUUGAGGUUGUACGAGUUCCUUUGGUCUCCUUACCAGUGAAUGUUUUUUCGCUUGUCAAGACAACUACACUUGGGCAUUAGCAUGCUUUGGUAUGUUGACAAGGGUGUAGGGAAGCUGUUUACCCAGACAAUCAUGCGUUGUCCAAAGUGUUUCUGCUGAACUUACUUUUCCGAUUGAAAAUCUAGAAUAGCAAGCUCUAAAAUGCAACAUGGUUCAGUACUGAUGAUCGGUUUAACAAACUUGAACCGAAGUUGCGUAUGGGUUAUGGAAAAGGAUGCCGGAAGCAGCCAUGGUGCUAAGUCGCCAACGCUUUCUUGGAGACUCCUUCAGCUGUCUACGGGUUGUCAGAAUCAGAGUAGCACCAAGAUCCUCUAUAUUGGUUGUAUUGGUACAUUGGCUUGUUCAUGUGAAGGAACAAUAUAACAGAUGUUGUAUAGCAUUACAAUUUACAAGUCCUCAAAUACAUUUGGAAAAAUGUAUCACCUUUUAAGCGUAUACUUAGGCUUUGUUCUCUCCACCUGA
This is an RNA transcript of Spinacia oleracea (spinach), 1896 nucleotides long. RefSeq lists it as uncharacterized. The transcript has 3 exons. Lineage: Eukaryota; Viridiplantae; Streptophyta; Magnoliopsida; Caryophyllales; Amaranthaceae. The record is from RefSeq and is a predicted model, not a curated record.